GUGAGGAAUAUUGCGCAAUGGAGGCAACUCUGACGCAGCCAUGCCGCGUGCAGGAAGAAGGCGCUACGCGUUGUAAACUGCUUUUAACCGGGAAGAAACCCCAGGACGUGUCCUGGGUUGACGGUACCGGAGGAAUAAGCACCGGCUAACUUCGUGCCAGCAGCCGCGGUAAUACGAAGGGUGCAAGCGUUAUCCGGAUUCAUUGGGUGUAAAGGGUGCGUAGGCGGAGCGUUAAGUCAGUGGUGAAAUCCUGCAGCUUAACUGUAGACUUGCCAUUGAUACUGGCGCUCUUGAGUGCGCUUGAAGUGGGCGGAAUGUGCCGUGUAGCGGUGAAAUGCUUAGAUAUGGCACAGAACACCAAUUGCGAAGGCAGCUCACUAAGGCGAUACUGACGCUGAGGCACGAAAGCGUGGGGAUCGAACAGGAUUAGAAACCCCGGUAGUCC
RNAcentral lists this ribosomal RNA (445 nucleotides) under uncultured bacterium. Its description in RNAcentral is "partial 16S ribosomal RNA". It matches the Rfam family "Bacterial small subunit ribosomal RNA", at positions 354 to 796 of the family's 1533-position model. The record is from RNAcentral.